This 514-nucleotide unclassified non-coding RNA is filed under the name Microsporum canis. Its description in RNAcentral is "partial contains 18S rRNA, ITS1, 5.8S rRNA and ITS2". The stretch from base 282 to 439 matches the Rfam family "5.8S ribosomal RNA". Lineage: Eukaryota; Fungi; Ascomycota; Eurotiomycetes; Onygenales; Arthrodermataceae. The record is from RNAcentral.
AGUCGAAGUUGGCCCCCGAAGCUCUUCCGUCUCCCCCCCGGGCCUCCCGGGGAGGUUGCGGGCGGCGAGGGGUGCCUCCGGCCGCACGCCCAUUCUUGUCUACUGACCCGGUUGCCUCGGCGGGCCGCGCCUGCUGUGCUACAGCGGCCGUUCGGGGGGGACGCCUGAGGGGGACUCUUGUUUCCUAGGCCACGCCCCGGGCAGCGCUCGCCGGAGGAUUACUCUGGAAAACACACUCUUGAAAGAACAUACCGUCUGAGCGAGCAACGCAAAUCAGUUAAAACUUUCAACAACGGAUCUCUUGGUUCCGGCAUCGAUGAANAACGCAGCGAAAUGCGAUAAGUAAUGUGAAAUUGCAGAAUUCCGUGAAUCAUCGAAUCUUUGAACGCACAUUGGCGCCCCCUGGCAUUCCGGGGGGGCAUGCCUGUUUCAGCCGUCAUUUUCAACCCCCCUCAAGCCCCGGGCUUUGGGGUAAUGGGACAACCGUUCCCCCCCCUCCCCCAUAAACCACCCC